Molecule: long non-coding RNA, 672 nt
Organism: Anthonomus grandis grandis
Lineage: Eukaryota; Metazoa; Arthropoda; Insecta; Coleoptera; Curculionidae
Exons: 4
Source: RefSeq, a predicted model, not a curated record
AGGUCAUGAAGGGAAAAAGACAAGAAGAAUUCUCUGAGUGCCUGUAGUAACUCAAUUGAUUGCUUAAAGAAGAACAUGUAAGACAGUUGAGGUUAUGUAGGAGAAAGGAAAGAAGAACUGUGGACUGAAGAAUGAAAAGAAGAAGAACAAGAGAAAGGAGAAGAAGACGACAUGCAUCAGUUUAAAUUAAUGAACUGUCUGUAAAAGAAACGUCAAUCAUUUCUGUCAGGCAUUUGAGGUUAUAAAGGAGAAAGACAAGAAGAACUGUGAAGAAAUUCGUUAAUUUCUUCUAAGCACUUAAAAAAGAGAAGGAAAAAGAAGAAGUGGGAUAUUGGACAUAAAUGAUCUAUCUGUAAAAGAAAAAUUAAUAAUUUCUUCCAGGCAGUUGAGGUCCUGAGGGAAAAGACAAGAAGAGCUGAAGUCUAUGGUACCAAUUCGACUGCCUAUAAAAAAAUCAUUAAUAUUUUUCAUGUGCUUAUAGAAGAAGAAGAAUAAGAAGAAAUGUACAUAUGGUCAUAUGGAAUAAAAAUCAUAAAUUGCCUUUAAGAGUAAAAUCAAUAGUCUCUUCCAGGCAGUCGAGAUCAUGAUGGAGAAAAACUGUACUCUGUAACUCAUUUCAAAUAUAAUUACCACUAACUAUGAUGUUUGAAAUUACCUAUUUUUGUUAUGUAA